This 89-nucleotide transfer RNA is filed under the name Omnitrophica WOR_2 bacterium RIFCSPHIGHO2_01_FULL_52_10. Its description in RNAcentral is "tRNA-Ser". It matches the Rfam family "tRNA". Rfam says of the family: Transfer RNA (tRNA) molecules are approximately 80 nucleotides in length. Their secondary structure includes four short double-helical elements and three loops (D, anti-codon, and T loops). Further hydrogen bonds mediate the characteristic L-shaped molecular structure. tRNAs have two regions of fundamental functional importance: the anti-codon, which is responsible for specific mRNA codon recognition, and the 3' end, to which the tRNAs corresponding amino acid is attached (by aminoacyl-tRNA synthetases). tRNAs cope with the degeneracy of the genetic code in two manners: having more than one tRNA (with a specific anti-codon) for a particular amino acid; and 'wobble' base-pairing, i.e. permitting non-standard base-pairing at the 3rd anti-codon position. RNAcentral also lists the same sequence under 1 other name. Lineage: Bacteria; Pseudomonadati; Candidatus Omnitrophota. The record is from RNAcentral.
GGAGAGGUGUCAGAGCGGUUGAAUGAGCACGCUUGGAAAGCGUGUGGACGCAGUAAUGUGUCUCGAGAGUUCGAAUCUCUCCCUCUCCG